GUACACGCUGUGACUAGCAUAUCAAUAAGCGGAGGAAAAGAAACUAGCAAGGAUUCCCCUAGUAACGGCGAGUGAAGCGGGAAGAGCUCAAAUUUGAAAUCUUAAAGGGUUUCCCUUUACGAAUUGUAGUUUAAAGAAGUGUUUUCUGUUGAGGUUUUGGUAAAAGUUCUUUGGAAUAGGACAUCAUAGAGGGUGAGAAUCCCGUAUUUGACCUUUACUUUCAACUUUGUGAUACACUUUCAAAGAGUCGGAUUGUUUGGGAAUGCAGUCCAAAAUGGGUGGUAAAUUUCAUCUAAAGCUAAAUAUUGGCGAGAGACCGAUAGCGAACAAGUACCGUGAGGGAAAGAUGAAAAGAACUUUGAAAAGAGAGUUAAACAGUACGUGAGAUUGUCAAAAGGGAAGCGUUUGACACCAGUGUUGUUUUUCUGAAAAUCAAUUAAAGAACUGUUUAUGCUAAGUUGUUUAGACUUUAUCAGCUAAUCUGUUUAAUUUUUGAGCUUUUCUUUAAUGCACUUUUCAGUUAACAAGUCAACAUCAAUUUCUUUUGCUGUAAAAAAGCUUGAGGAAGGUGGCUUGAGAUUCGUCUUAAGUGUUUAUAGCCUCUUGCCUAUGCAGUCGGAGAGAUUGAGGUCUGCAGCGUAGAUCCUUCGGGGCUAAAUGCAUUUGUGCUAAGUUAUAGCAUUUUAUAGACAACUUGUUGACUAUGAUUUGUCUUGUAGCUUACUCGCUUAUGUUAUUUUACCUACGCUUAGGAUGUUGAAGAUGUAGCACAUCAU
Molecule: ribosomal RNA, 776 nt
Filed under: uncultured Neocallimastigales
Lineage: Eukaryota; Fungi; Neocallimastigomycota; Neocallimastigomycetes; Neocallimastigales
Description: partial large subunit ribosomal RNA
Rfam family: Eukaryotic large subunit ribosomal RNA
Source: RNAcentral